RNAcentral lists this ribosomal RNA (392 nucleotides) under uncultured bacterium. RNAcentral's name for it is "partial 16S ribosomal RNA". It matches the Rfam family "Bacterial small subunit ribosomal RNA", at positions 523 to 918 of the family's 1533-position model. The record is from RNAcentral.
AUACGGAGGAUCCGAGCGUUAUCCGGAUUUAUUGGGUUUAAAGGGUGCGCAGGCGGCCAUUUAAGUCAGCGGUUAAAUCGUGGGGCUCAACCCCAUUCUGCCGUUGAUACUGGGUGGUUUGAUUGCGGUCGAGGUUGGCGGAAUUCGUUGUGUAGCGGUGAAAUGCAUAGAUAUGACGAAGAACACCGAUUGCGUAGGCAGCUGACCAGACCGCAAAUGACGCUCAUGCACGAAAGUGCGGGGAUCGAACAGGAUUAGAUACCCUGGUAGUCCGCACAGUAAACGAUGAAUACUUGUUUUCGGCGAUAUAAUGUCGGAGGCAAAGCGAAAGCGAUAAGUAUUCCACCUGGGGAGUACGCCGGCAACGGUGAAACUCAAAGGAAUUGACGGGG